ACUCAACACUAACAAAUUAAAAUGGGCGAAGCAUUAUCACUAAAGCAUGCCAUCUUUGAAUGGAUCCUUGAACGGUAAGAUAGCUCAAAACUUGUUUUCCUAGAGUUU
This 108-nucleotide small RNA is filed under the name Paenimyroides marinum. Its description in RNAcentral is "Paenimyroides aquimaris 6S-Flavo RNA". It matches the Rfam family "6S-Flavo RNA". The record is from Rfam by way of RNAcentral. Lineage: Bacteria; Pseudomonadati; Bacteroidota; Flavobacteriia; Flavobacteriales; Flavobacteriaceae.